AGUGGGAUAGCUAAGUCAUAUGGUGGUUCCAGUCCUUAUUUUUUGAGGAAUAUCCAUACUGCUUUCCAGAAUGGUUGUACUACUUUGCAGUCCUACCAAU
This 100-nucleotide microRNA precursor is filed under the name Marmota monax (woodchuck). Lineage: Eukaryota; Metazoa; Chordata; Mammalia; Rodentia; Sciuridae. The record is from RNAcentral.